Ailuropoda melanoleuca (giant panda) is the source of this 4146-nucleotide long non-coding RNA. The record is from Ensembl. NCBI's taxonomy places the organism in Eukaryota, Metazoa, Chordata, Mammalia, Carnivora, Ursidae.
CACUGUCCUCCCGUGUGAACAACCCUGGUGCUGAGGAGCUCAGGGGGGCAGGCUUGGAGGACUGAGUCCAACGAGGCUCGGACCCCCAUUCCUGCCCUUCCCCAGCAGCCAAGUGAGCUCCAGCCUAUGGCGUGCACAUUUUACAGACAAGGAAACUGAGGCUUGGAGCUAUGAGCGGAUUGCCCAAGUGAGUGGAAGAGGCAAGCUCUGAGCGCCGUCCCAUGGCCCCGUGCCCUUCCCUUCUCCAACCUCAGGGCCCUGAUUUCUUCAAGCACACCACCGGGGCAAUGCAGAGUGGAAUGCGGCUCUGGAGGCUGGUCUGACCCCCGUGGCCUCCCUCCUCCUGAGCCCUGGGCCUCUGCCACCCGAGUUCACCCUGCCUGGUUUUGGCAAGCCACCUCACAUUGACCAAAAUGUCUGUCCGCUUAAAUCCUUCGACUUUUCUCGAAUGUGCUGUUGCUGCUGAGCCAUUUCUCCCCGCCCCCCGCCCCCCACCGCAUCCAUGUGCAGCUGGGUCUUUGGAUCCGAGUCCAGGAACUGACAUUUAUCCCCGUCAAAUUUCAUCUUGUUCGUUCAUCUGACAAACAUUUGUUCAGUGCCCACGCCGUACCAGGCACUGGGGACACAGCACUGAAAGCCCAGUCCCCUGCCCCUAAGGAGCUCCCACUGUCAUUAGGCACAGCCGCAGCUGUCAAUGGCAAGCUGGCCGCCACCUGCAGGCCGUCUCACUGACCCUCAGGGCACCAGCACAGAGGUGAUGCUGCCCCCAUUUUGCAGAUGGGGAAGCCAAGGUUCAGCAAGUUGAUGCUACUUGCCUGAAGGCGCCUACCUGGAAAGUGGCAGGCUCAGCACUCGCCCCUCCAACCCCUUUGGAUUCUGAGUCCGUCCUCCUCCUUAGAUACCUUCUACCUCAGCUUUGCGUUCCCUGCAAGCCCGAGAAACUUCAUGGGCUGCAUUUCAUCCACAGCACUGAUGACGCUACCCCACAGAGCCCCAGGGUAGGCCACCACUGCCCCCGUACCCCAGACAGACAGCCGUCUGUGAUCCCACACCCCGUGGGUUCAGCAGAUACAUCGCACCCGACUGGAAACCACAGGACCGGUCUACACACCCACCCCCACCCCUCCGCCCAACCCCCAGCCCCAGGCUCCCUCCCCUGUCCAGGCAGCUACACAACUGCUUGUUGGCAUCUCUGGCCAUCAAACCCAUCCCCAAGGCCAUGUCCUCUAUGGGCAGGAGUCUUUGCCUGUGCCAUGGUGAAGAUUCAUCUGCCAGUGUCCCUCCCCGGGGCGGUGGGGGGGGGGACUGCAAGCCCAGGGACCAAGAGCGGGCAGUGGCUUUGGGAUUUUGCAGGCUCCGAACAUCCCCCCCUUGCAUCUGUGGCUUCUUCUCUCCCACACCGUCUGCUCCGGGAGCCUCAGCCCAUCUUUUUCACUCAGCGUUUCUGCCAAGCGCAGGGAGAUCCACUGCAGAACAGGCCUGUGGCAAGAAACAAGCACCUUUCUGCACGAGACCCAGCGAGACGCAGGUGCUGGAUACAUGUCUGCCGAGUGAACAAACACCCGACGGCCCUGCUCACCGAAUCCUGAGGUCCAGCAGGGGGUAGAUGUAAGGACAAACCCGAGGAAACCCUACCUUGUUCUACAAGGAAUCACCUGAUGGAGUCUGUGUCUCCGAGAGAGGCGGCAGAAGCAGAAAAGACAAAGGGAUUCCAGAAGGUGGGAGGAGGGGUCGCCUACACAAUUGGAAAAUUUCACAAAGUCCAGAUUUCAAGCUAUUUUUAAAAUAUCUGAAGCUUUGGCAACCCCAAGCCUGCAUAUUCCCAUGGCAACCCGAGCUGGUGCCGAGCACCGCUGCCCCCUUCAGACUGGACAUGCGCUCUGCACGUCUUCGCGCACAAGGCCGCUCACCGUUGCCAACACCUAGCCCCCUCCCCCCAACUCAUUCGCAUCCCCGGCCCCGUGGGCAUCUGCCGUAGGCCAGCCCUGGUUUAAGACAUUUCAUGAGCAGAAAGCAUGCCAGGGACAUGGGGACUGAGACAUCUGCUGCAUCAGCCCGUAGCCAGGGGUUCCCUCCCUCAGGUUCUUGGAGCAGUGGCCCAUCGUGGGGUUUUCCAGAUCCACAGGCAUCCAUUCUCUGUGCUGGGAUCCCGUGGCGGGUGGGCUCCGAAACUCCAAGCCACGCCCUGGAGGGGAGAGGUGCAGUUCCGGAUUUGCACCAGCAGGGAGCGCCGUUCCUGGACUGCACCGUCCCUCCGCCAUCCUGGGAGCUGUGUCCCUGACCUUUCCUACUUGGGGUGACAGCUGAGACCCAGCCUGCCUGGCAACAUGAUGGGCUCGGCAGUGACUGGCUGGGCCAGGAUAUACUCCAGGUGCCCAAGGACAGCCUCAAGGGCCCUCCCUCCACCGCCUUCUGGAAGCCCUUCCAACCUGCGACCCCCAGGGCCAAAGGACACCCCUCCUGAGCUCCCUUCUCCUAGCAGCCUUUCCUCGCCCUUCUCUUCUUUCAGGACUGCUCAGGCUUCCUGAAGCCCGUUUCCUCAGGGCAGACCCUCAAAUUCAGGACUGCAUGCUUGGCCCUGUGUUCAGGGUUUUAUAUACUUUAUUUAAAAUCCCCAGAAUCCUAUAAGGUAGGUAUUAAUCCCCAUUUUACAAGUGGGAAAACUAAAGCUUACCAAGGGGACACAACCUGCCCAGGGCCAAACAAUAGCAAGAUUCUAAUUAGGAUGGCAUUGCUCCUGUGAAGGAAAUUUUAGAAUCAAUGGACGGGAAGGAGGGGUUGGUUAGGGUUUGAGGGCAGAGGACAAUCCCUUGCUCAGGUCCAUACAGGCCACUUAUUCUGUUAAGAGCCAUCCAAGGUCAGGGACUGAAUCUGGGGCCCCUAAGCCAGUGAUAAGGCCUUAGGAAUAGGCCCUUGGGAAUUUACUGAACAUCUCUCCAUCCCUGCCUAGGGCGAUAGUUUGAGCAGCAGGACAAGUCCCACGCAUGCUUCAGCUUCUGACUUCAAUCCAUGAUGGGGUAGUGAAGAGGCAGGCAGGCGGCCACGCGUAGGGGCCCCGAAUGGCCCACCCAACUGGAUGGGACCUUCAUGAGGGGCAAGAGAGCCAGACUGCACACAGUGAAUUGAGGCAUCGCUGAGCAUGACUCCUUUGGUGAGCCACAAGCCUCAAGAUCUUCCCCACUCCCACCUGCACAGGGACAGAGAAGCCCAGGGAAUCAUCAGCCCCUCUGAGACUGUCACAGCCCAUGUACCAAGGCCACCACCAGGGUGGGAAAAGGGUUCUGUCCACACUGUUUAGCCAGCUCACCUGCCAUUUCCCCAAACAUGCCUGCACUCACACCCCUGGGUCUGCUGGUCCCUCUCCAAUUCUACCUCCCAAUCGUCCAAACCCAGCUUGAAAAAACGUCACCUUUUCUGGGCAACCCACCGUAAUCUGAUCCAUCAAAACUAGUCAUUCUUUCCCUCUCUGGAAAGGACUAAAACGGCAGGGACCUCUCCUGUGGCGUUAAGGCCAAUCUCCUUAGUGCUGUAAUCGUUUCUGGGUUGCUGUUUUCUCUGAGAAGCAGGCAGGAGGGUAGAGCAGACACCCUGCCUCCUAGCAUGGGGCCUCAUACAUGCAAGGCAUGAGGUACAUUGGAAGGAUGGAGGGGUGCAUGGACAGACAGAGGGACGGACGGACGGAUGGACGGAGAGAGGAACAAACAAAUGAACAGGUGAGUGGGUAGGAGAGUGGAUGGCCCACAGAAAGUUCAGUGUAAUUGGCCAGCACGCCCAAACUUCCCCCUGCUCCUGUGAAAUAAGAUUUCCCUGUUUCACUUGUCAUGGCUCGUCCUCUGCUUUAGCGAAUUGAAGAUUUAGAAAGACGGCGCUGUGCGGAGAUGCCAGGGAAGCCGAGGGUCAGACGUGUGUUGCUUCCUUCCCUGAAUCCUGGUCUCCCUGCGUGUAAAGUGAGGAUGUUGGACUUGAACUUGAUGAUUCCUUGGCCCCUUCCAGCUGAAGACACAUGCCUGUGCUGGGGCCCAGCAGGGAUGGGGGGGCCACUGACUGAGUCCAGUGCAGCGAAAAGGGCACCGGGAAGGCUUCAGACGAAAGAUGAAGGGAUGGAAGAGAAAAGGAAAGAAGGGAAAGGGAAGGAAGGGAGGGAAG